RNAcentral lists this ribosomal RNA (433 nucleotides) under uncultured bacterium. Its description in RNAcentral is "partial 16S ribosomal RNA". It matches the Rfam family "Bacterial small subunit ribosomal RNA", at positions 29 to 507 of the family's 1533-position model. The record is from RNAcentral.
AGCGAACGCUGGCGGCAGGCCUAACACAUGCAAGUCGAACGAACUCUUCGGAGGUAGUUGCGGACGGGGGAGGAACACGGCGGAACGUGCCUGUUUGCUCGGAAUAACUCAGUUUAACUUGGGCUAAUACCGAGUGUGUCCCGCUGAGACAAGAUUUAUCGCCCUUAGAGAAGCACGCGUCUGUUUAGCCUGCUGGGGAGGUAACGGCUCACGAAGGCGACGAUCGGUAGCGGGUCUGAGAGGAUGACCAGCCACACUGGGAAUGAGCUGCGGCCCGGAAUCUUACGGGAGGCAGGCGUGGGGAAUCUUGCGAAAUCGGCGGAAGGAUGACGGAGCCCUGCUGCGUGAAUGAUGAAGUUCGUAGGAUUGUACAGCUGUUUAACCGGGGACGAUUCUGACUGUACCCGGAGAAGAAGCCCCGGCUAACUUCGUG